This 374-nucleotide ribosomal RNA is filed under the name uncultured eukaryote. Its description in RNAcentral is "SSU rRNA". It matches the Rfam family "Eukaryotic small subunit ribosomal RNA", at positions 587 to 972 of the family's 1831-position model. The record is from RNAcentral.
AGCUCCAAUAGCGUAUAUUAAAGUUGUUGCAGUUAAAAAGCUCGUAGUUGGAUUUCUGGGAGGGUGCUAAUGCCCGCCGUAGCGCGCGCGCAGCAGCGCCCUUCCAUCCUUCUGUUAACGCCUCUUGGCAUUCAUUUGCUGGUGGCGGGCUCAGAUAUUUUACCUUGAGAAAAUUAGAGUGUUUCAGGCAGGCUAGGCCGGAAUAUAUUAGCAUGGAAUAAUGGAAUAGGACUAUGGUCUCUUUGUUGGUUUGAGGGACUGCAGUAAUGAUUAAUAGGGAUAGUUGGGGGCAUUAGUAUUUAAUUGUCAGAGGUGGAAUUCUCAGAUUUGUUAAAGACUAACUUAUGCGAAAGCAUUUGCCAAGGAUGUUUUCA